AUGGCCGCCCAGGCACCGGCGAUCGAGGUUCCCACUGAUGCCGAGCUGCUGCAGGCCCAGGCCGACCUGUGGCGCCACACCCUCUACUACCUCACCUCCAUGGGGCUCCGCUGCGCCGUCAAGCUCGGCAUCCCGACGGCCAUGCACAACCUCGGCGGGGUCACCUCACUGCCCGACCUGGCGGCCGCGCUGUCCAUCCCCGCAAGCAAGCAGCCGUUCCUGGGCCGCCUGAUGCGUGCCCUGGUCACCUCAGGCGUCUUCGCCGCCGGCGGCAAGGACGAUUCCGAGGCAGAGCUCUUCCGCCUCAACCCGCUUUCCCGUGUCCUGGUGGAUGACGUGGUCGCGGACGACCACCACAGCCAGACGUCCUUCGUGCUCGCCGGGACGUCGCCGCACUACAUGGAGGCCGCCCUGGGGAUGGCCGACUGGUUCAAGAAGGACGUCACCGGACCAGUGCCGUCGGUGUUCGAGGACGUGCAUAGCGCGUCGCUCUUCGACGAGACCACGGCGGCCUUGGACCCGGAGCUCGACGCGCUGGUCACCGAAGGUCUCGAAGCCCACGACAACCUGGGGAUCGGCACGAUCAUGCGUGAGUGCCAUGACCUCUUCAAGGGGCUCGAGUCUCUAACUGACUGCUGUGGUGGCGAUGGAAAGACGGCGAGGGCCAUCACCAAGGCCCACCCGCACGUCAAGUGCACCGUGCUGGAUCUCCCCAAGGUGAUCCAAAAAACUCCGUCGGACUGUGUAGUCAACUAUGUCGCCGGUGACCUCUUCCACACCGUCCCAAAGGCUCAGGCCGUGAUGCUCAAGCUUGUGCUGCACCACUGGAGUGACGACGACUGCGUGAAGAUCCUUACCCAGUGUAAGAAUGCCAUUCCUUCCCGUGAAGAAGGAGGGAAGGUGAUUGUCAUUGACAUUGUGGUCGAACCAUCAUUAGGACCUGUCAUGUUUGAGGCCCAGACUCUCAUGGACUUGCUCAUGCUUGUGUUCACGAGAGGCCGUCAACGUAGCGAAAAUGACUGGCGUGAGCUCUUCAUGAAAGCAGGGUUCACCGACUACAAAAUUAUCAAGAAACUCGGUGCACGAGGUGUCAUCGAGGUCUACAAGUGA
Molecule: ribosomal RNA, 1110 nt
Filed under: Triticum aestivum (bread wheat)
Lineage: Eukaryota; Viridiplantae; Streptophyta; Magnoliopsida; Poales; Poaceae
Description: partial small subunit ribosomal RNA
Source: RNAcentral